Molecule: ribosomal RNA, 466 nt
Filed under: uncultured bacterium
Lineage: Bacteria
Description: partial 16S ribosomal RNA
Rfam family: Bacterial small subunit ribosomal RNA
Source: RNAcentral
GACGAACGCUGGCGGCGUGCUUAACACAUGCAAGUCGAACGGAAAGGCCCUGCUUGCAGGGUACUCGAGUGGCGAACGGGUGAGUAACACGUGGGUGAUCUGCCCUGCACUUCGGGAUAAGCUUGGUAAACUGGGUCUAAUACCGGAUAGGAGCCAUCUUUAGUGUGGUGGUUGGAAAGUUUUUUCGGUGUAGGAUGAGCUCGCGGCCUAUCAGCUUGUUGGUGGGGUAAUGGCCUACCAAGGCGGCGACGGGUAGCCGGCCUGAGAGGGUGUACGGCCACAUUGGGACUGAGAUACGGCCCAGACUCCUACGGGAGGCAGCAGUGGGGAAUAUUGCACAAUGGGCGCAAGCCUGAUGCAGCGACGCCGCGUGGGGGAUGAAGGCCUUCGGGUUGUAAACUCCUUUCGCUAGGGACGAAGCUUUGUUGUGACGGUACCUAGAUAAGAAGCACCGGCUAACUACGUG